AAAUUGAAGAGUUUGAUCAUGGCUCAGAUUGAACGCUGGCGGCAGGCCUAACACAUGCAAGUCGAGCGGAAACGGCAGCAUUGAAGCUUCGGUGGAUUUGCUGGACGUCGAGCGGCGGACGGGUGAGUAACGGCUGGGAACCUGCCCUGACGAGGGGGAUAACCGUUGGAAACGACGGCUAAUACCGCAUAAUGUCUUAGUUCAUUACGAGCUGGGACCAAAGGUGGCCUCUACAUGUAAGCUAUCGCGUUGGGAUGGGCCCAGUUAGGAUUAGCUAGUUGGUAAGGUAAUGGCUUACCAAGGCAACGAUCCUUAGCUGGUUUGAGAGGAUGAUCAGCCACACUGGGACUGAGACACGGCCCAGACUCCUACGGGAGGCAGCAGUGGGGAAUAUUGCACAAUGGGGGAGACCCUGAUGCAGCCAUGCCGCGUGUGUGAAGAAGGCCUUCGGGUUGUAAAGCACUUUCAGCAGUGAGGAAGGUAAUGUACUUAAUACGUGCAUUGCUUGACGUUAGCUGCAGAAGAAGCACCGGCUAACUCCGUGCCAGCAGCCGCGGUAAUACGGAGGGUGCGAGCGUUAAUCGGAAUUACUGGGCGUAAAGCGCAUGCAGGCGGUUUGUUAAGUCAGAUGUGAAAGCCCGGGGCUCAACCUCGGAACCGCAUUUGAAACUGGCAGGCUAGAGUCUUGUAGAGGGGGGUAGAAUUUCAGGUGUAGCGGUGAAAUGCGUAGAGAUCUGAAGGAAUACCAGUGGCGAAGGCGGCCCCCUGGACAAAGACUGACGCUCAGAUGCGAAAGCGUGGGUAGCAAACAGGAUUAGAUACCCUGGUAGUCCACGCCGUAAACGCUGUCUACUUGGAGGUUGAGGUUUAAGACUUUGGCUUUCGGCGCUAACGCAUUAAGUAGACCGCCUGGGGAGUACGGCCGCAAGGUUAAAACUCAAAUGAAUUGACGGGGGCCCGCACAAGCGGUGGAGCAUGUGGUUUAAUUCGAUGCAACGCGAAGAACCUUACCUACUCUUGACAUCCAGAGAACUUUCCAGAGAUGGAUUGGUGCCUUCGGGAGCUCUGAGACAGGUGCUGCAUGGCUGUCGUCAGCUCGUGUUGUGAAAUGUUGGGUUAAGUCCCGCAACGAGCGCAACCCUUAUCCUUGUUUGCCAGCACAUAAUGGUGGGAACUCCAGGGAGACUGCCGGUGAUAAACCGGAGGAAGGUGGGGACGACGUCAAGUCAUCAUGGCCCUUACGAGUAGGGCUACACACGUGCUACAAUGGCAGAUACAGAGGGCAGCGAAGCUGCGAAGUGGAGCGAAUCCCUUAAAGUCUGUCGUAGUCCGGAUUGGAGUCUGCAACUCGACUCCAUGAAGUCGGAAUCGCUAGUAAUCGUGGAUCAGAAUGCCACGGUGAAUACGUUCCCGGGCCUUGUACACACCGCCCGUCACACCAUGGGAGUGGGCUGCACCAGAAGUAGAUAGCUUAACCUUCGGGAGGGCGUUUACCACGGUGUGGUUCAUGACUGGGGUGAAGUCGUAACAAGGUAGCCCUAGGGGAACCUGGGGCUGGAUCACCUCCUUA
RNAcentral lists this ribosomal RNA (1570 nucleotides) under Salinivibrio kushneri. RNAcentral's name for it is "bacterial SSU rRNA". It matches the Rfam family "Bacterial small subunit ribosomal RNA". Lineage: Bacteria; Pseudomonadati; Pseudomonadota; Gammaproteobacteria; Vibrionales; Vibrionaceae. The record is from RNAcentral.